UAUCAAAGGGACAUUUGAAGAGUUGCUUUAAAUGAGAUUCAGGCCUAGCCAUCUUGAAAAUCAAGCCACGAACUUUUUCCAAUGAUCCUGUCUGUGUUUCGUGAGCUGAUUGUGAGCUUCUAAUCUCUACUAGAACAUUUUACUGAUGUAAUUCUUAUGUUUAUUAAAACUCUGAGUGAACAUGAAAAAUUAACACAUUCAGUGAACACAAACGAAGGAAGAG
RNAcentral lists this unclassified non-coding RNA (223 nucleotides) under Hevea brasiliensis (rubber tree). Lineage: Eukaryota; Viridiplantae; Streptophyta; Magnoliopsida; Malpighiales; Euphorbiaceae. The record is from RNAcentral.